AAACCUUACUAGGGUAAGACAUUGAUGUGAUUGACAGACUACUUGAUCUUUCUUGAUUUGGUGGGUGGUGGUGCAUGGCCGAUCUUAGUUGGUGGGGUGACCCGUCUGGUUAAUUUCGAUAACGAACGAGAUCCGAGCUGUUUAGUUGGCGUGCGGUGUAUUACACCGGUACGUUUCCUAUAUGGACUGUCAGUUGAAAACUGAAGGAAGUUUCGGGCGAAAU
RNAcentral lists this ribosomal RNA (223 nucleotides) under uncultured marine eukaryote. RNAcentral's name for it is "partial 18S ribosomal RNA". It matches the Rfam family "Eukaryotic small subunit ribosomal RNA", at positions 1210 to 1456 of the family's 1831-position model. The record is from RNAcentral.